RNAcentral lists this ribosomal RNA (2926 nucleotides) under Escherichia coli. RNAcentral's name for it is "23S ribosomal RNA". It matches the Rfam family "Bacterial large subunit ribosomal RNA". The record is from RNAcentral. Lineage: Bacteria; Pseudomonadati; Pseudomonadota; Gammaproteobacteria; Enterobacterales; Enterobacteriaceae.
GGGUUGUGAGGUUAAGCGACUAAGCGUACACGGUGGAUGCCCUGGCAGUCAGAGGCGAUGAAGGACGUGCUAAUCUGCGAUAAGCGUCGGUAAGGUGAUAUGAACCGUUAUAACCGGCGAUUUCCGAAUGGGGAAACCCAGUGUGAUUCGUCACACUAUCAUUAACUGAAUCCAUAGGUUAAUGAGGCGAACCGGGGGAACUGAAACAUCUAAGUACCCCGAGGAAAAGAAAUCAACCGAGAUUCCCCCAGUAGCGGCGAGCGAACGGGGAGCAGCCCAGAGCCUGAAUCAGUGUGUGUGUUAGUGGAAGCGUCUGGAAAGGCGUGCGAUACAGGGUGACAGCCCCGUACACAAAAAUGCACAUGCUGUGAGCUCGAUGAGUAGGGCGGGACACGUGGUAUCCUGUCUGAAUAUGGGGGGACCAUCCUCCAAGGCUAAAUACUCCUGACUGACCGAUAGUGAACCAGUACCGUGAGGGAAAGGCGAAAAGAACCCCGGCGAGGGGAGUGAAAAAGAACCUGAAACCGUGUACGUACAAGCAGUGGGAGCACAGAGCAAUCUGUGUGACUGCGUACCUUUUGUAUAAUGGGUCAGCGACUUAUAUUCUGUAGCAAGGUUAACCGAAUAGGGGAGCCGAAGGGAAACCGAGUCUUAACUGGGCGUUAAGUUGCAGGGUAUAGACCCGAAACCCGGUGAUCUAGCCAUGGGCAGGUUGAAGGUUGGGUAACACUAACUGGAGGACCGAACCGACUAAUGUUGAAAAAUUAGCGGAUGACUUGUGGCUGGGGGUGAAAGGCCAAUCAAACCGGGAGAUAGCUGGUUCUCCCCGAAAGCUAUUUAGGUAGCGCCUCGUGAAUUCAUCUCCGGGGGUAGAGCACUGUUUCGGCAAGGGGGUCAUCCCGACUUACCAACCCGAUGCAAACUGCGAAUACCGGAGAAUGUUAUCACGGGAGACACACGGCGGGUGCUAACGUCCGUCGUGAAGAGGGAAACAACCCAGACCGCCAGCUAAGGUCCCAAAGUCAUGGUUAAGUGGGAAACGAUGUGGGAAGGCUCAGACAGCCAGGAUGUUGGCUUAGAAGCAGCCAUCAUUUAAAGAAAGCGUAAUAGCUCACUGGUCGAGUCGGCCUGCGCGGAAGAUGUAACGGGGCUAAACCAUGCACCGAAGCUGCGGCAGCGACACUAUGUGUUGUUGGGUAGGGGAGCGUUCUGUAAGCCUGUGAAGGUGUACUGUGAGGUAUGCUGGAGGUAUCAGAAGUGCGAAUGCUGACAUAAGUAACGAUAAAGCGGGUGAAAAGCCCGCUCGCCGGAAGACCAAGGGUUCCUGUCCAACGUUAAUCGGGGCAGGGUGAGUCGACCCCUAAGGCGAGGCCGAAAGGCGUAGUCGAUGGGAAACAGGUUAAUAUUCCUGUACUUGGUGUUACUGCGAAGGGGGGACGGAGAAGGCUAUGUUGGCCGGGCGACGGUUGUCCCGGUUUAAGCGUGUAGGCUGGUUUUCCAGGCAAAUCCGGAAAAUCAAGGCUGAGGCGUGAUGACGAGGCACUACGGUGCUGAAGCAACAAAUGCCCUGCUUCCAGGAAAAGCCUCUAAGCAUCAGGUAACAUCAAAUCGUACCCCAAACCGACACAGGUGGUCAGGUAGAGAAUACCAAGGCGCUUGAGAGAACUCGGGUGAAGGAACUAGGCAAAAUGGUGCCGUAACUUCGGGAGAAGGCACGCUGAUAUGUAGGUGAAGUCCCUCGCGGAUGGAGCUGAAAUCAGUCGAAGAUACCAGCUGGCUGCAACUGUUUAUUAAAAACACAGCACUGUGCAAACACGAAAGUGGACGUAUACGGUGUGACGCCUGCCCGGUGCCGGAAGGUUAAUUGAUGGGGUUAGCGCAAGCGAAGCUCUUGAUCGAAGCCCCGGUAAACGGCGGCCGUAACUAUAACGGUCCUAAGGUAGCGAAAUUCCUUGUCGGGUAAGUUCCGACCUGCACGAAUGGCGUAAUGAUGGCCAGGCUGUCUCCACCCGAGACUCAGUGAAAUUGAACUCGCUGUGAAGAUGCAGUGUACCCGCGGCAAGACGGAAAGACCCCGUGAACCUUUACUAUAGCUUGACACUGAACAUUGAGCCUUGAUGUGUAGGAUAGGUGGGAGGCUUUGAAGUGUGGACGCCAGUCUGCAUGGAGCCGACCUUGAAAUACCACCCUUUAAUGUUUGAUGUUCUAACGUUGACCCGUAAUCCGGGUUGCGGACAGUGUCUGGUGGGUAGUUUGACUGGGGCGGUCUCCUCCUAAAGAGUAACGGAGGAGCACGAAGGUUGGCUAAUCCUGGUCGGACAUCAGGAGGUUAGUGCAAUGGCAUAAGCCAGCUUGACUGCGAGCGUGACGGCGCGAGCAGGUGCGAAAGCAGGUCAUAGUGAUCCGGUGGUUCUGAAUGGAAGGGCCAUCGCUCAACGGAUAAAAGGUACUCCGGGGAUAACAGGCUGAUACCGCCCAAGAGUUCAUAUCGACGGCGGUGUUUGGCACCUCGAUGUCGGCUCAUCACAUCCUGGGGCUGAAGUAGGUCCCAAGGGUAUGGCUGUUCGCCAUUUAAAGUGGUACGCGAGCUGGGUUUAGAACGUCGUGAGACAGUUCGGUCCCUAUCUGCCGUGGGCGCUGGAGAAUUGAGGGGGGCUGCUCCUAGUACGAGAGGACCGGAGUGGACGCAUCACUGGUGUUCGGGUUGUCAUGCCAAUGGCACUGCCCGGUAGCUAAAUGCGGAAGAGAUAAGUGCUGAAAGCAUCUAAGCACGAAACUUGCCCCGAGAUGAGUUCUCCCUGACUCCUUGAGAGUCCUGAAGGAACGUUGAAGACGACGACGUUGAUAGGCCGGGUGUGUAAGCGCAGCGAUGCGUUGAGCUAACCGGUACUAAUGAACCGUGAGGCUUAACCUUACAACGCCGAAG